GGUUAAGCGACUAAGCGUACACGGUGGAUGCCCUGGCAGUCAGAGGCGAUGAAGGACGUGCUAAUCUGCGAUAAGCGUCGGUAAGGUGAUAUGAACCGUUAUAACCGGCGAUUUCCGAAUGGGGAAACCCAGUGUGUUUCGACACACUAUCAUUAACUGAAUCCAUAGGUUAAUGAGGCGAACCGGGGGAACUGAAACAUCUAAGUACCCCGAGGAAAAGAAAUCAACCGAGAUUCCCCCAGUAGCGGCGAGCGAACGGGGAGCAGCCCAGAGCCUGAAUCAGUGUGUGUGUUAGUGGAAGCGUCUGGAAAGGCGCGCGAUACAGGGUGACAGCCCCGUACACAAAAAUGCACAUGCUGUGAGCUCGAUGAGUAGGGCGGGACACGUGGUAUCCUGUCUGAAUAUGGGGGGACCAUCCUCCAAGGCUAAAUACUCCUGACUGACCGAUAGUGAACCAGUACCGUGAGGGAAAGGCGAAAAGAACCCCGGCGAGGGGAGUGAAAAAGAACCUGAAACCGUGUACGUACAAGCAGUGGGAGCACGCUUAGGCGUGUGACUGCGUACCUUUUGUAUAAUGGGUCAGCGACUUAUAUUCUGUAGCAAGGUUAACCGAAUAGGGGAGCCGAAGGGAAACCGAGUCUUAACUGGGCGUUAAGUUGCAGGGUAUAGACCCGAAACCCGGUGAUCUAGCCAUGGGCAGGUUGAAGGUUGGGUAACACUAACUGGAGGACCGAACCGACUAAUGUUGAAAAAUUAGCGGAUGACUUGUGGCUGGGGGUGAAAGGCCAAUCAAACCGGGAGAUAGCUGGUUCUCCCCGAAAGCUAUUUAGGUAGCGCCUCGUGAAUUCAUCUCCGGGGGUAGAGCACUGUUUCGGCAAGGGGGUCAUCCCGACUUACCAACCCGAUGCAAACUGCGAAUACCGGAGAAUGUUAUCACGGGAGACACACGGCGGGUGCUAACGUCCGUCGUGAAGAGGGAAACAACCCAGACCGCCAGCUAAGGUCCCAAAGUCAUGGUUAAGUGGGAAACGAUGUGGGAAGGCCCAGACAGCCAGGAUGUUGGCUUAGAAGCAGCCAUCAUUUAAAGAAAGCGUAAUAGCUCACUGGUCGAGUCGGCCUGCGCGGAAGAUGUAACGGGGCUAAACCAUGCACCGAAGCUGCGGCAGCGACGCUUAUGCGUUGUUGGGUAGGGGAGCGUUCUGUAAGCCUGUGAAGGUGUGCUGUGAGGCAUGCUGGAGGUAUCAGAAGUGCGAAUGCUGACAUAAGUAACGAUAAAGCGGGUGAAAAGCCCGCUCGCCGGAAGACCAAGGGUUCCUGUCCAACGUUAAUCGGGGCAGGGUGAGUCGACCCCUAAGGCGAGGCCGAAAGGCGUAGUCGAUGGGAAACAGGUUAAUAUUCCUGUACUUGGUGUUACUGCGAAGGGGGGACGGAGAAGGCUAUGUUGGCCGGGCGACGGUUGUCCCGGUUUAAGCGUGUAGGCUGGUUUUCCAGGCAAAUCCGGAAAAUCAAGGCUGAGGCGUGAUGACGAGGCACUACGGUGCUGAAGCAACAAAUGCCCUGCUUCCAGGAAAAGCCUCUAAGCAUCAGGUAACAUCAAAUCGUACCCCAAACCGACACAGGUGGUCAGGUAGAGAAUACCAAGGCGCUUGAGAGAACUCGGGUGAAGGAACUAGGCAAAAUGGUGCCGUAACUUCGGGAGAAGGCACGCUGAUAUGUAGGUGAAGUCCCUCGCGGAUGGAGCUGAAAUCAGUCGAAGAUACCAGCUGGCUGCAACUGUUUAUUAAAAACACAGCACUGUGCAAACACGAAAGUGGACGUAUACGGUGUGACGCCUGCCCGGUGCCGGAAGGUUAAUUGAUGGGGUCAGCGCAAGCGAAGCUCUUGAUCGAAGCCCCGGUAAACGGCGGCCGUAACUAUAACGGUCCUAAGGUAGCGAAAUUCCUUGUCGGGUAAGUUCCGACCUGCACGAAUGGCGUAAUGAUGGCCAGGCUGUCUCCACCCGAGACUCAGUGAAAUUGAACUCGCUGUGAAGAUGCAGUGUACCCGCGGCAAGACGGAAAGACCCCGUGAACCUUUACUAUAGCUUGACACUGAACAUUGAGCCUUGAUGUGUAGGAUAGGUGGGAGGCUUUGAAGUGUGGACGCCAGUCUGCAUGGAGCCGACCUUGAAAUACCACCCUUUAAUGUUUGAUGUUCUAACGUUGACCCGUAAUCCGGGUUGCGGACAGUGUCUGGUGGGUAGUUUGACUGGGGCGGUCUCCUCCUAAAGAGUAACGGAGGAGCACGAAGGUUGGCUAAUCCUGGUCGGACAUCAGGAGGUUAGUGCAAUGGCAUAAGCCAGCUUGACUGCGAGCGUGACGGCGCGAGCAGGUGCGAAAGCAGGUCAUAGUGAUCCGGUGGUUCUGAAUGGAAGGGCCAUCGCUCAACGGAUAAAAGGUACUCCGGGGAUAACAGGCUGAUACCGCCCAAGAGUUCAUAUCGACGGCGGUGUUUGGCACCUCGAUGUCGGCUCAUCACAUCCUGGGGCUGAAGUAGGUCCCAAGGGUAUGGCUGUUCGCCAUUUAAAGUGGUACGCGAGCUGGGUUUAGAACGUCGUGAGACAGUUCGGUCCCUAUCUGCCGUGGGCGCUGGAGAACUGAGGGGGGCUGCUCCUAGUACGAGAGGACCGGAGUGGACGCAUCACUGGUGUUCGGGUUGUCAUGCCAAUGGCACUGCCCGGUAGCUAAAUGCGGAAGAGAUAAGUGCUGAAAGCAUCUAAGCACGAAACUUGCCCCGAGAUGAGUUCUCCCUGACUCCUUGAGAGUCCUGAAGGAACGUUGAAGACGACGACGUUGAUAGGCCGGGUGUGUAAGCGCAGCGAUGCGUUGAGCUAACCGGUACUAAUGAACCGUGAGGCUUAACCUU
RNAcentral lists this ribosomal RNA (2904 nucleotides) under Escherichia coli. RNAcentral describes it as "23S ribosomal RNA". It matches the Rfam family "Bacterial large subunit ribosomal RNA". The record is from RNAcentral. Lineage: Bacteria; Pseudomonadati; Pseudomonadota; Gammaproteobacteria; Enterobacterales; Enterobacteriaceae.